CAUCAGUGAGACCAUAGACAGUUGAAUGAUACGGACGUAAAAAUGUUUUUAGAUGAAUAUGCUAAUUUUAUAUUAGAAAACUGAAAGAAUGGGAUGUCGUGUGGGGAUAUAGCAGCUGCGUUGGGUUCACAGUUUGGAAAGAUACGGGGGUUUUCUGAGAGGAGUGUGCGGAGGUGGUGUGCUGAGCAGGAACUUGUCAGGAGGAACUUCUGUCCUGACAGUCAACUUGAAGUUGAAGUCGCUGAAGGUAUUGCUGAGACUGGAUCGUCUUUCGGCCGAAAAAUGAUGACAGGCUAUCUAUCUGCUAAAGGGGUUAAAGCUUCUGAGGGCAGAGUGGGCAAAGUGUUGAGACGUGUUCAUCAACCCUACCACAUUGCAAGACAUCAGGGUGCCCGAAAUCUGAACCCCAUACCCUACAAUGCAGAAUACAUGGGGCACAAGCUACAUGUAGAUCAAAAUGAAAAGCUUGUUAUGUUUGGUGUGACCCAUGUAAUGGCUAUCGAUGGUUUCAGCAAGAAGAUUGUCAGUCACUCCACUAUGCCAAUAAAGAACAACGUCGUAAUUUCGUAACGUCGUAAAAAACCUGCUGUACUUUCUUAUGGACUAUGGGAUCAGGUCAGAGUUGACUGUGGGAAAGAGUUUUAUCUGGCAUUAUUCAUACAGGAAAAGCUGGCAGAACACAGACACAAUACUCAAAGGCAGCCUUACCUUCAGACUCCUUCUACAAGGGUGAUGUAACCAUGUGAUCGAGAGAAUGUGGUCGGAGGUGAAUGCCAGAGUCAACUACCCUUUGAAGACAGCUUUGGUAGAGCUGGUGGACCAAGAUGAACAGAGUAUGGAGGACAACACAUCAAAGUAUUGUGUGUCAAACCUGACAUGCCAAAUGGCUAGGAUUGGCAUUUCAAAAGUCACAGAGGCAUGGAAUGCACACAGGAUCCCAGGAAAGGGAAUACCAAAUGAACUGGCUAAAGAAGGGUGUCCUGCAAAACUUCUCGAGGACCUUCUGCCUGUUGGUUCUGUUGCAGCUGACCUGUAUCAGCAGGAAAUGGGAUCCGCAUUGAAAAGGGAAUCCGUUUUGGAUGUGAUCCUUUCCCCUCUGAAGAGGCCCAACAAUGGACUGAAACGGAGUUUGGUUCUCACUUUGACAUAUUAUCACUGUACGAAAAUGUAGUUCACCAUAACUAUGGCCCUUUUAAAGAUGCAGUUAUGUCUCUUAUUGAUUUCACCAGAAGGUGUGUGUGACCUGCAGUGGUCAAUAAAGCAGCAGUAUAAUUUCAAAAAUAAAAUUUAUUACAGAGGAAUCUGUAAAAGUGGUUUCAGUCCAUAACAAAAUAAAUUGCACUAACAAUGCAGUAACUCUGUUUACAAUGAAUACACAGCACUUACAAUUUUUGUUUCUUUGUAAAUUCUUUGUUUUAAAUGUAAUUGUCAUGUAAAGAAGUUGAGCUUUUGUAUAAAAAUCUAGCUUAUCAGAUCACAAUAAAGAAAAUAACAUCAGUUAA
Carassius carassius (crucian carp) is the source of this 1502-nucleotide long non-coding RNA. RefSeq lists it as uncharacterized. The record is from RefSeq and is a predicted model, not a curated record. The transcript has 6 exons. Lineage: Eukaryota; Metazoa; Chordata; Actinopteri; Cypriniformes; Cyprinidae.